UGGCUUUAUAUUUAUAAAGGGGUUGAGGAAGCCGUUCCAGAGUUUGUUAGGCCCUUAGAGGAGUUUGUUAGACGGUUAGAAAGCCACCUAUAAGUAAGCUGGUGUAUAGCUAUGCAUAUGAGCUAGAUAUGAGAUCAUGGCCAGUUGUACCUUAGUUGAAAAAAUCAUCGCAGAUGUUUGUAGAAUGAUUAAGUCUGUCAUUACAAUAGUUCAUCUCGAUAGAUGAUCGAAGUGACAUAAAGCUAUCAUAACAUUCAUCUUGGAUAGUGAGGUAUCAGGAUU
Molecule: long non-coding RNA, 282 nt
Filed under: Elaeis guineensis (African oil palm)
Lineage: Eukaryota; Viridiplantae; Streptophyta; Magnoliopsida; Arecales; Arecaceae
Description: long non-coding RNA (EGUI_LNC073174)
Source: RNAcentral